Molecule: long non-coding RNA, 2645 nt
Organism: Centropristis striata (black sea bass)
Lineage: Eukaryota; Metazoa; Chordata; Actinopteri; Perciformes; Serranidae
Exons: 3
Source: RefSeq, a predicted model, not a curated record
GACAGCUUGUAAGAACUGUUUAACUUUAUUUUAAUAAAAUAUGAGCGAAUUUUUACUGAUGGAGUUAACUGUCAUUGCUCCAACUAGACAUCUUAUAAUUGGUCGUCUGUUCAUAUAGACGGCUGCAUUCAGAGAGCCGGCGGCGGCUGAUGGACCAUAAACGGGUCCCUGAAUGUGUUCGCCGUGUUUUCUCGGUCUUAAAAUGUCAAACUUUAUUACUUACAGAUGGAAUAAACUCUUCAUAUGCUAUUAAUCAUUGCUCCAGCUAUUCAUUUAACUUUUAGGCCGUUUAGGGCUGUAUUUAGCGAGCUGGCGACGGUGAAUUAGUCAGGUACUUGAACGCAACGGCCGCCGUGUUUUAUCGUUCUUAAGGUAAAGCUUUAUCUUUUAACACGUGAAAAUGAUCUUGUAUAUACUAAUAGUCGUUGUUCUAGCUAACCAUCAAUCUUUUAGGCCGUUUCGACCGCAGUAUCAGCUGGAAGGGUCACUUGUCACUGAAGUGUAAAGCACUGUAUAAUAAGCUAUUGUCAGAGAAUCCAAAUGAAAUUUAAGCAGAAAGUAUGGCAUGUGUCCUGACUGUGUUCUCUGUUAUAUUAUAGAUUUUUUUUCAACUGUUCAACCAAGCAACAUGGAUCAUCCAAAAUUCAGAAGAGCUCCAAAUGAAGGAGCCCCUGGCCGUUGGCCCUUGACGGGCGGCAGGUGAGGUCCCAUUGAGGGCCAAAAAGCCUGAGGAGGAGGAUGCUGAGGCAUGGGACCAUGUCUGCCACAAGGGUGGUGACACCAUCAACGCCACCCUGGUCCUGCUGGUGGAAGGUCCAGUUUGGAGGGUACCAGGGUAAAACCUUCCACUGGCUCCUGGAGAACGACGUGGGCCAUGCAGUCAUCCUGGUCUCCUCCCACCAGAAGGAGCAAGAGAGGACAGGGUCUUAGUCCACCCCUCAUGGCCAACAAGGUAGAGUCUACUUGGUGGAGGCAGUCAGGUUCCACCGGGUGUUUGAGGAGGCGCAGGUGAAGUCCCUCCAGCCCGGACAGGAGAGACAGGCCCUUGUUGGCUUUGGGGACUUCAAACAGGAGACCCUGCAGAGCCUGUACCAGUCUGAGGACCCCAAACAUAUCCGGUAAAGAUGAGAAUAUAGAUACUGUGGUGACCAUUGAUGAUGAGGGAGUUUGAUAAAUGGACUAAUUUGUCUGAUUUGUACAGCUCUGUCCACUACCUGAGGAGGACGGCGCCGGCUCCUGGCACACAGAUGGAGAACGCUGUCUCUGUCUGUACGUUCAGGGCAGGGACAGACAGAGAGUACUAACACAGAAAAUGUCAUUCUUUAAAGGCGAUAAACAUUGUAUUUCUCUCAGCCUUAGAUGUACAGGCCCCUCUCUUGCUCCCAGAGCAUCCAACUCCUUCCACCUCCUCCCGGACUCCAGCAGCAGCAGCAGCCUCCAGGCCACUACCGCCGCUGCCAGCAGCAGGAGACGCAGCAGCAUCCCAGACGCCGCCGCCUGAGGAAGGACAUCAGGAGGAGUCCGAGCCAGCCUUCCUCCCUCCGCUUCCACCUGCUGGCAGUGCAGCAGUGAGGCUUUCAUACAUUCAAGGCCUCAGAUUACACGCCCUCCCUUGCACAUGAAGUAAUUUCAGUUCCUCAGAUAAUGAAAUAUGUUCGUGUCGUUGUCUUUCCAGCUGCUGCCUCAGUCCUGACUGGCAGCUCUCAGCAGGAGUGGAUCAGCCUGGUGCUGUUUUCCAGGGACAGCCGGAGAGGUCUCAGGAUCUCCUCGACACCUUAGAUGGACCAGCAGGUCACAACAUCCUGGACGUCCCGUUGCUCGACGCUCUCCGCAUCCAGGACAUAUGGAGUACGCAGAGGCACCACCUCAGCUGCACCCAGGACCCACCAGGGGUGAAGCUGUACACCCAGACUGGCAGGCUGACAAAGGGCGGCGUCAGCCUGCCUGUUUAUCGCUGGCGAGGGGCUCCACUUCGUUGGAGUCCUUCCACCUCCACCUCUACCUCAACCGGUUCAUCCCAGGGACUCGAGCCAAUGGGAAACACUUCCAGGCGUUCCUGGUCGAUGGACUGGUGAGGUGGAACGAGGACCGUGCAGCGGCAGCAGCUGAACCCCUAGAUGCAGCUGGUGGUGCCUCUGCACUCCUGCAGUGGCCACCUCAAGCACGUCCUUAAUCAGAAGAGCCAAAGGGUGACUUCUACCAGUUAUAUAUUAAUAUUAGUUGUUAGAGCCAUUUUGUACAUUGUAGAGAUGCUGAUAAAUAAUUCAGAUUUGUAUUUCAUAAGUUUAUAGUUCUUUAUUGAGGUUGUAGGAAUGCCUAUUGGUUCAUAGGAAUUGCACUUUUAUUAUUGGCUGAGAUGUGUGUAACGUCAUAAUUGCUUACUUUGUUGUAAUUAGGAUUAUGGAGACGAGGACAGCACACUAGUUUUUGACCGUGCUUAUAAUUAUUAUUAUUUUUGGAUUGCUGCAGUUUAUUGUUUGUAAUGCUCAAACGAAAGGUUUUCAAUAAACCAUAAGAAAGAAACUGUGGGAUUUUUUUCGGCUUAAGACACGCGUCAACUACAUCCUCACGCUCCAUAAUUGAAGUGUGCGUUUUAAGUAAAACUAGACGGAGCCACACUAACAUUAGUGUUGUCCUAAAAAAAA